Molecule: ribosomal RNA, 194 nt
Filed under: uncultured bacterium
Lineage: Bacteria
Description: partial 16S ribosomal RNA
Rfam family: Bacterial small subunit ribosomal RNA
Source: RNAcentral
UCUACGGGAGGCAGCAGUAGGGAAUCUUCCACAAUGGACGAAAGUCUGAUGGAGCAACGCCGCGUGAGUGAAGAAGGAUUUCGGUUCGUAAAACUCUGUUGCAAGGGAAGAACAAGUAGCGUAGUAACUGGCGCUACCUUGACGGUACCUUGUUAGAAAGCCACGGCUAACUACGUGCCAGCAGCCGCGGUAAU